RNAcentral lists this ribosomal RNA (429 nucleotides) under Actinomycetes bacterium. RNAcentral describes it as "Actinobacteria bacterium partial 16S ribosomal RNA". It matches the Rfam family "Bacterial small subunit ribosomal RNA", at positions 355 to 776 of the family's 1533-position model. The record is from RNAcentral. Lineage: Bacteria; Bacillati; Actinomycetota; Actinomycetes.
UAGGGAAUCUUCCUCAAUGUGCGAAAGCCUGACGGAGCAACGCCGCGUGAGUGAUGUAGGUCUUCGGAUCGUAAAACUCUGUUAUUAGGCAAUAACAAAUGUGUAAGUAACUAUGCACGUCUUGACGGUACCUAAUCAGAAAGCCACGGCUAACUACGUGCCAGCAGCCGCGGUAAUACGUAGGUGGCAAGCGUUAUCCGGAAUUAUUGGGCGUAAAGCGCGCGUAGGCGGUUUUUUAAGUCUGAUGUGAAAGCCCACGGCUCAACCGUGGAGGGUCAUUGGAAACUGGAAGACUUGAGUGCAGAAGCGGAAAGUGUAAUUCCAUGUGUAGCGGUUAAGUGCGAGGCGAUAUGGAGGAACACCAGUGAAGAAGGCGACUUUCUGGUCUGUAACUGACGCUGAUGUGCGAAAGCGUGGGGAUCAAACAGG